Non-coding RNA from Ictidomys tridecemlineatus (thirteen-lined ground squirrel), 71 nucleotides. Lineage: Eukaryota; Metazoa; Chordata; Mammalia; Rodentia; Sciuridae. The record is from Rfam.
GGGGAUGAAGCUCAGUGGUAAAGUGCUUGCUUUGCAUGCAGAGGUCCUGGGUUUGAUCCUCAGCACCAUCA